This 604-nucleotide long non-coding RNA is filed under the name Ricinus communis (castor bean). RNAcentral describes it as "long non-coding RNA (RCOM_LNC000215)". Lineage: Eukaryota; Viridiplantae; Streptophyta; Magnoliopsida; Malpighiales; Euphorbiaceae. The record is from RNAcentral.
GCCGCCUUCCGGCCACUUUCCGGCCAAAACUCUUGUACUUCCGGACUCCCCGCAACUUGAGCUUCGCGUAGGCACUUCCCGAUUUGAAUUCCGACACUGUUGGCAGGACCGGCUUCCGGACCCUAGUGUUUUCUGGACGCGCGGAAUAUUUUAAUUUUUAACUCGGUAUAAUUUUAUUAGACUCUGAAAAAUUUUGUUAUAAUAUUAGAAUGUUAUUGAGGCUAUUAAUUGCUUGUGUUGGGUAGUUUAAAAAUAAAUCAAAUUAAAUUGUUUGGAUUGUGGUGUUUUGGAGUCGGGAAAAUAUUAAUGCAGUUCUUGUGGCCCGGCUCCUGUUAUUAAAUUCCAACAUGUUUGAUAUAUUUUUGGCAGGUCCUGGACCCGUUUUACGGGGGGUAAAUAUCCGUAAUUUAGGGGAGGUUCUGUCAAAUUUUCGGCAGAAUCCUCGAGUCCAAUUUAAUUCUAGGCAGUCGACCUUAGGGUCUAAGUUUAGGAAGAAUUUUCAAAUGUCUAUUAAUUGUAUGUCUUUUGUUAUUAGAUAAUUCAGCCUUCCCGCCAGCUCCACCCGAGGCAUAGGAGCGGACUGUGGAACGCAUCAAAUCUGUGA